This is a non-coding RNA of Clostridium sp. CAG:470, 158 nucleotides long. The record is from Rfam. NCBI's taxonomy places the organism in Bacteria, Bacillati, Bacillota, Clostridia, Eubacteriales, Clostridiaceae.
GUUAUUUUUCAAGCGCCAGGACCACUAUUUUCAGGAGGUUGACGAGGUCUAGAGUUAUCGAAAUAUUCGGCGGAUGCUCUAGUGGCUUUUACUUAAGGUCAUCAGUAUUAAUUAAAAACUAAUAGUAAUAUUAGAACAGAAGUUAAUAUUUUAAGUUU